Molecule: long non-coding RNA, 246 nt
Filed under: Phoenix dactylifera (date palm)
Lineage: Eukaryota; Viridiplantae; Streptophyta; Magnoliopsida; Arecales; Arecaceae
Description: long non-coding RNA (PDAC_LNC013486)
Source: RNAcentral
AGGGCCGGCAUGAUGGCCGGCCUGGGUGGCCGGAGGCCAUCCCUCGGUCGACGGCUGGCCGACUGCGGUGGCGGCCGGUGGCCGCUGCGGUGGCCGGCGUCAAAAGAACAACCGAGAAUGAUCUCGGUUUGGGGCCAAAAUAAAGAAAAUAUGGCAUGAUUGAUCUUGGAAUCAAAGGCUGGAGGGAGCUUACCGACGGUGGGAGGAAGAUCUCGGCCGUGGCAGCCUCGAUCCAGUGGUCAAGCG